Molecule: long non-coding RNA, 318 nt
Filed under: Equus asinus (donkey)
Lineage: Eukaryota; Metazoa; Chordata; Mammalia; Perissodactyla; Equidae
Description: lncRNA (ENSEASG00005038768.1)
Source: RNAcentral
CACAGGCUCUGCCUGCGGCAGUUCUCAACCUGCUUGCCGGAGAGGAGCCAAGGAAACUGCUCUUCCUACUUCCUCCUGCUUCAGAAGGUCAGGGCAGCUGGCCUUUCCCAAGCACCUCUGUGGACCCGGCCCAGCACUGUUCCCGAGAGCUCCCAGACUACAACCAAGCACCCAAGAGCCUUCAUCCUCAUGUCUAGGGGAUCCCAUUGCAGGCUGGCUCUUUGCCCUCACCUCUGAGUGACCCAUCCAGCAACAGCCUGUACCAAGCAAGCCUAUCAUUGUCUUCCUACCCAAACUCCUCUUCGUUGAACCUGUCUU